GAACGGGGAGCAGCCCAGAGCCUGAAUCAGUAUGUGUGUUAGUGGAAGCGUCUGGAAAGGCGCGCGAUACAGGGUGACAGCCCCGUACACAAAAAUGCACAUGCUGUGAGCUCGAUGAGUAGGGCGGGACACGUGGUAUCCUGUCUGAAUAUGGGGGGACCAUCCUCCAAGGCUAAAUACUCCUGACUGACCGAUAGUGAACCAGUACCGUGAGGGAAAGGCGAAAAGAACCCCGGCGAGGGGAGUGAAAAAGAACCUGAAACCGUGUACGUACAAGCAGUGGGAGCACGCUUAGG
RNAcentral lists this ribosomal RNA (296 nucleotides) under Escherichia coli. RNAcentral describes it as "partial 23S ribosomal RNA". It matches the Rfam family "Bacterial large subunit ribosomal RNA", at positions 255 to 589 of the family's 2925-position model. Lineage: Bacteria; Pseudomonadati; Pseudomonadota; Gammaproteobacteria; Enterobacterales; Enterobacteriaceae. The record is from RNAcentral.